GAUGAUGAGGCAGGAUGCUGUUGCUGUUUCUUCAACGUGCCUACUUUUCUUUUUGUGUUUUCUUUAGUCCUGAUCGAGUUCAUAAAACAGAUCACCCUUUCAUUGUUUCCAUAAAUUCCAAAAGAUGGAGAGUUUUAAAAGAGUUUAGGUUUAGGAUAAUCCCGAGUGGAGAAUGCCGAUUGUGAGAAUCGUAAUAUAAGAUCAUUGCUGUUAAGGAAGAAAAGAUAUCCAGGCUGAUGAAAAAUGUUCCUGAAUUUCAACUUUUGGGAACUAAAUAUCACAACACUACAUACGAAUUUCUUUGUCCUGGCUUAGCAUUGAGCAUAUAUAAGAAGAUCAUUCAAAUACCACAUUGAAUUUCUUUAAAUUAAACUUACUUGAUAAGUUCUCUGGAAGGAGAUGAAGCUACUUGUUUCUGCAAGGAUUUUGUCAAAUCAUUACAUCCGCACAGCAAGACAACAUAAAAAGAAAAAUAUAGAGCAUGAAAAAUAAUACUCCCUCCGUCCCAAUAGUAGUGUCCCAUAGCUUUUGGGCACGGAGAUUAAAAAAUGUGUAAAAAGUAGAAAAAGUGGGUUCGUGGAAAUUAUUUAAAUAUUAGGUAUAGAGAGAGAAUAUAUCUAUACCUAUUAUAAAAGAGCCUUGUUUUACAAAAUUUGAUUUGCCUAAUAUGUCCCUAUUUCUUAAUCUAUUUUAAGGAUAAUAGUGUAAUAUCAUAUUAUUAUUAUUCUAAUCUUUUUUUAUUUAGUUGAUUAUUGCCAUAAUAAUGAACAUAAAAGAAUUCAACUACAAUCACAAUUCUAAACAAGUUCGAUUUUAUCUAUAUUUAUCACAUAUAAAUCUAUUAUUUAAAUCCAAGACUUAUUAAUUUUUUUUAAACAAAUUUACUAUAUAAAAUUCAAUAAAUUUAUAAAGAAAAACUCAACGAAGAAUCUAAAUCUAUAUACACAAAAAGAUUCGAAAAAUGCAUAAACACAUUGAGGAAAUAUUUUUUAGUUAGAUAAAUAAUAUCAAAUAAUAGUAUUGUUAUCCUUCUACGAAAAUAAAAUUAGCAAAGUUAAAUUACAUAAAUAAUUUGAUUGGAUAAAAAGGCAAAAACAUAGGUGAGACUGAUCGAGUGUAUGGAUGAGAGGGUCAGGGAAGGGUUGGGGCGCAGGUCGCGAGUCUCAGGCCGGUUGAAAAUUACGGAUAAUUCAAAGUAAUUAUUGUUGUGAUGAAAAAAUAAUUUUUUUUCCGCGAUGAUUGUCAUUUUUACCCACGAGAACUUGUACUUUUCAUUUAUUUGGUCAAAUAAUUAUUAUUGUAAGAUAAGAUAACCACUGAUAUGAAGAAAUGUAAUGUUUCAAUAAAUAUCAUAAUAUAUAUAAAAAAGCAAAAAAAUAUUGUUGCAACUAAGAAUUGAACCAAUGAGAGAUGAUAGACGAAGGAGCGUACCACUAAGCUAACAAAUGUUAUUUGUAAAGUAGCAGAUACUUUUUAUUAUUCGCUCCUGGUGAAAACCUAGUUCUAUUUUAUCCUACAAAUAUUCAUUAUUAUUACUAUAGAUAUUAUUUUACUUUAAUACAUUAGUAUAUAUUAAAGUUUGAAUAUGAUUACAUUACUAUAUAUUAAAAGAAAAAUAAUUUAAACCCUCAAAAUAAAGAUUUAAAAAAUGUAAAUACUUAAGGAUAUGAUUAUUAAUAUAUAGGAUAACAAUGUGCACUUAAAAAAUUAUUAUGGAUAAAUAAUAUAACACACAACUUUAUGUGAUAUUUCUAUAAUUUUGACGUAGAUGCUAAUUAGUAAUUACCAUUGGAAGAAGAUAUGGAAAAUAAUGCAUUAGUUUGACAUAAAAUAAUGCACGACUAUUAUGAUAUAUUCAAAAAUUACUUUAAGCAACAUUUGUACAUUAAUUCAUCAAGUAAUCGUACUAAUUUUUUUGUUCAACUUUCAAUUUUCAAUUUUCAAAUUAAAUUAAUUCAUUAGUUUGACAAUCUUUUAUGUGGAGUUAUGUAUUCAUUUAUAGCCUACAUACCUAAUUCUUUCAAAAUAAUUAAAAGCUUCUAUAAAUAUUACUCUUAGGAGGCCCUUGCUACCUUAUAGAUCCAUCAAAUUAUAAAAAUAUGCAUGGCAUUAGUUAGGAAUGAGACUUUGGGAAGAAGACAUAAUUUUGAUAGUGUAAGGGGGCGUUUAGUAUUGAGGGUUAACUUAAUAGGGAAAGAUAGCAUAUACUCCCUCCGUCCCGGCCAAGACGAUACAUUUAUUUUUCGGCACGGAAUUUAAGGAGUUGCAUAUUAGUGUUUUAAGUGUGUAAUAAUAAAGUGAUAAAGUAGGAGAGAGAAUGUAAUAAAGUGAUAAAAUAAGAAAUAGAAUGUAAUAAAGUGAUAAAAUAAGAAAGAAAAUAUAAUAAAGUGAUAAAGUAGGAGAGAGAAGGUAAUAAGAGAAUACUUAAUUAGUGUUGAUUAAGUGUUUAAAAUUUCUUAUUAAUUUUUGUCCAAAUAUAGAAAUGUAUCAUCUUCGUUGGGAUNGAGAAAUGUCAGCUUUAAGGGAUUGCUUAUCUGACCUGAAAGUUUUUGAGCUUUGCAGAUGUAAAGAAAAACUAACCUUUUUAGAUGAUGAGGCAGGAUGCUGUUGCUGUUUCUUAACGUGCCUAUUUCUUUUUGUGUUUUCUUUAGUCCUGAUCGAGUUCAUAAACAGAUCACCCUUUCAUUGUUUCCAUAAAUUCCAAAAGAUGGAGAGUUUUAAAAGAGUUUAGGUUUAGGAUAAUCCCGAGUGGAGAAUGCCGAUUGUGAGAAUCGUAAUAUAAGAUCAUUGCUGUUAAGGAAGAAAAGAUAUCCAGGCUGAUGAAAAAUGUUCCUGAAUUUCAACUUUUGGGAACUAAAUAUCACAACACUACAUACGAA
This 2879-nucleotide long non-coding RNA is filed under the name Salvia miltiorrhiza (redroot sage). RNAcentral describes it as "long non-coding RNA (SMIL_LNC005033)". Lineage: Eukaryota; Viridiplantae; Streptophyta; Magnoliopsida; Lamiales; Lamiaceae. The record is from RNAcentral.